AAAGUUUGAUCAUGGCUCAGGAUGAACGCUAGCUACAGGCUUAACACAUGCAAGUCGAGGGGAAACGACAUCGAAAGCUUGCUUUUGAUGGGCGUCGACCGGCGCACGGGUGAGUAACGCGUAUCCAACCUGCCCAUCACUUGGGGAUAACCUUGCGAAAGUAAGACUAAUACCCAAUGAUAUCUCUAGAAGACAUCUGAAAGAGAUUAAAGAUUUAUCGGUGAUGGAUGGGGGAUGCGUCUGAUUAGCUUGUUGGCGGGGUAACGGCCCACAAGGCUACGAUCAGUAGGGGUUCUGAGAGGAAGGUCCCCCCANAUUGGAACUGAGACACGGGUCCAAACUCCUACGGGAGCA
This 354-nucleotide ribosomal RNA is filed under the name uncultured bacterium. RNAcentral describes it as "bacterial SSU rRNA". It matches the Rfam family "Bacterial small subunit ribosomal RNA", at positions 8 to 349 of the family's 1533-position model. The record is from RNAcentral.